Long non-coding RNA from Hippocampus zosterae (dwarf seahorse), 312 nucleotides. RefSeq lists it as uncharacterized. The record is from RefSeq and is a predicted model, not a curated record. The transcript has 2 exons. Lineage: Eukaryota; Metazoa; Chordata; Actinopteri; Syngnathiformes; Syngnathidae.
UUCUAAGAUAAAUUGGCCUUACAGGCUGAACUAAAAAGAAUGAGAUACAAAUACUUGACGGUUGGUCCUAAUCCAAAAUGGCCACUUCAAAUCAAAGAGGAAGACUGUCUAUGUAUUUUACUUCCUGUGUUUUUGGGGCUUUUUUUGUGGGUCUCAGUCAUCAUAGAUGUCUGAUCAAUUUUAUGUUGCAAAGAAAACAGGCUUUUGGAGGUGUUUUUCUUACUUAAUUGUAGAGUCCCCUCCCAGGCUAAACCACAAUGACAGACUUCCUGUGUCUUUUGGGGCUUUUUUUUUGUGGGUCUCCUCAUGAUA